GACGAACGCUGGCGGCGUGGAUUAGGCAUGCAAGUCGAACGGUAUCAUCCUUUCGGGGGUGAGAGAGUGGCGAACUGGUGAGUAACACGUAGGUUAUCUACCCUCAAGACGGGGACAACCCAGGGAAACUUGGGCUAAUACCGGAUGUGAGCAACUUUUAGUUGUUUGAAAGGUGGCGUAAGCUGUCGCUUGGGGAUGAGCCUGCGUCCUAUUAGUUAGUUGGUGAGGUAACGGCUCACCUAGGCAAUGAUAGGUAGGCGGCCUUAACGGGUGGUCGCCCACACUGGGAUUGAGAUACGGCCCAGACUCCUACGGGAGGCAGCAGUCGAGAAUAGUCUACAAUGGUCGGAAGACUGAUAGUGCGACGCCGCGUGAACGAUGAAUCCCUUCGGGGUGUAAGUUCUUUUAUAUGUGAGCAGUGCUUCUUAUAUUAACAGUAUGGGGAGAGAGAUAUUAGCAUAUGAAUAGCAACGGUAACUCGUGCCAGCAGCCCGGU
Molecule: ribosomal RNA, 496 nt
Filed under: uncultured bacterium
Lineage: Bacteria
Description: bacterial SSU rRNA
Rfam family: Bacterial small subunit ribosomal RNA
Source: RNAcentral